GGCUUGUAAGUCACUGGUGAAAUGCUGUGGCUUAACCAUAGAAUGGCCAUGGAAACUGCAAGUCUUGAGUACAGUUGAGGUGGCCGGAAUGAGUAAUGUACCGGUGAAAUGCAUAGAUAUUACUCAGAACUCCGAUUGCGUAGGCAGCUUGCUAAACUGUAACUGACGCUGAUGCACGAAAGCGUGGGGAGCGAACAGGAUUAGAUACCCUGGUAGUCCACGCUGUAAACGAUGAGCACUGGUUGUUGGCAAUACACCGUCAGCGACUGAGCGAAAGUAUUAAGUGCUCCACCUGGGGAGUACGUCGGCAACGAUGAAACUCAAAGGAAUUGACGGGGGCCCGCACAAGCGGAGGAACAUGUGGUUUAAUUCGAUGAUACGCGAGGAACCUUACCUGGGCUUAAAUGUAGAGUGCAUUGCUUGGAAACAGGCAUUUUCUUCGGAACUCUUUACAAGGUGCUGCAUGGUUGUCGUCAGCUCGUGCCGUGAGGUGUCGGGUUAAGUCCCAUAACGAGCGCAACCCCUAUUGUUAGUUACCAGCACGUAAUGGUGGGGACUCUAGCAAGACUGCCGGUGUAAACCGUGAGGAAGGUGGGGAUGACGUCAAAUCAGCACGGCCCUUAUGUCCAGGGCUACACACGUGUUACAAUGGCAAGUACAAAGAGCAGCCACCUGGCGACAGGGCGCUAAUCUCAAAAGCUUGCCUCAGUUCGGAUCGAAGUCUGCAACUCGACUUCGUGAAGGUGGAUUCGCUAGUAAUCGCGCAUCAGCCAUGGCGCGGUGAAUACGUUCCCGGGCAUUGUACACACCGCCCGUCAAGCCAUGGAAGCCGGGGGUACACUGAAGUCCGUAACCGCAAGGAUCGGCACUAGGGUAAAAC
This 880-nucleotide ribosomal RNA is filed under the name uncultured organism. RNAcentral's name for it is "bacterial SSU rRNA". It matches the Rfam family "Bacterial small subunit ribosomal RNA", at positions 578 to 1468 of the family's 1533-position model. The record is from RNAcentral.